AAGCUUAAUCAACUUUGGGCAUUGGCCCUUUGUUGACUUGUUUGGUCAAAAUCCUAUUCUACUUGGUCCAAAAUACAAGGCUCAAUUGAAAUCCUACAUUAUUAGGCCCAUAAUACCAAGCCCAGAUAAAAUCUAGACUACUUGGCCCAUAAUUCAAAGCCCAAAUAAAAUCUAGACUACUUGACCCAAAAUACAGGCCCAA
RNAcentral lists this long non-coding RNA (202 nucleotides) under Vigna radiata. RNAcentral's name for it is "long non-coding RNA (VRAD_LNC011203)". Lineage: Eukaryota; Viridiplantae; Streptophyta; Magnoliopsida; Fabales; Fabaceae. The record is from RNAcentral.